RNAcentral lists this ribosomal RNA (442 nucleotides) under uncultured bacterium. RNAcentral's name for it is "partial 16S ribosomal RNA". It matches the Rfam family "Bacterial small subunit ribosomal RNA", at positions 338 to 795 of the family's 1533-position model. The record is from RNAcentral.
CCUACGGGAGGCAGCAGUGGGGAAUAUUGGGCAAUGGACGCAAGUCUGACCCAGCAACGCCGCGUGAAGGAAGAAGGCUUUCGGGUUGUAAACUUCUUUUAUGGGGGAAGAGCAGAAGACGGUACCCCUUGAAUAAGCCACGGCUAACUACGUGCCAGCAGCCGCGGUUAUACGUAGGUGGCAAGCGUUGGCCGGUGUUACUGGGUGUAAAGGGCGUGCAGCCGGAGAGUCAAGACAGAUGUGAAAUCCACGGACUAAACACGUGAACUGUAUUUGAAACUGUUUCCCUUGAGUGUCGGAGGGGUAAUCGGAAUUCCUAGUGUAGCGGUGAAAUGCGUAGAUAUAAGGAAGAACACCAGUGGCGAAGGCGGAUUACUGGACGAUAACUGACGGUGAGGCGCGAAAGCGUGGGGAGCAAACAGGAUUAGAUACCCCUGUAGUC